AUGAAUAUGUUCCCUAUGGUAACUGGGUUCAUGAGUUAUGGUCAACAAACAAUACGUGCUACAAGGUACAUAGGUCAAAGUUUCAUAACUACCUUAUCCCACACAAAUCGUUUACCUAUAACGAUUCACUACCCUUAUGAAAAAUCAAUUACACCAGAGCGUUUCCGAGGGCGAAUCCACUUUGAAUUUGAUAAAUGUAUUGCUUGUGAAGUAUGUGUUCGCGUAUGUCCGAUAGAUUUACCCGUUGUUGAUUGGAGAUUUGAAAAGGAUAUUAAAAGAAAACAAUUGCUUAAUUAUAGUAUUGAUUUCGAAAUUUGUAUAUUUUGUGGCAAUUGUGUUGAGUACUGGCCAACAAGCUGUUUAUCAAUGACUGAAGAAUAUGAACUUUCUACCUAUGAUCGUCAUGAAUUGAAUUACAAUCAAAUUGCUUUAAGUCGGUUACCAAUCUCCAUAAUGGGAGAUUACACAAUUCAAACAAUUAGGAAUUCGUCUGAAAGUAAAAUAAACAAAGAAAAAUCUUCGAAUUCAAGAACGAUUACUGAUUACUAA
RNAcentral lists this ribosomal RNA (549 nucleotides) under Triticum aestivum (bread wheat). RNAcentral's name for it is "partial small subunit ribosomal RNA". The record is from RNAcentral. Lineage: Eukaryota; Viridiplantae; Streptophyta; Magnoliopsida; Poales; Poaceae.